UACGACUGAAGGCAGCAGUGGGGAAACUUGCACAAUGGGCGCAAGCCUGAUCCAGCCAUGCCGCGUGAGUGAUGAAGGCCUUAGGGUCGUAAAGCUCUUUCGCCAGGGAUGAUAAUGACAGUACCUGGUAAAGAAACCCCGGCUAACUCCGUGCCAGCAGCCGCGGUAAUACGGAGGGGGUUAGCGUUGUUCGGAAUUACUGGGCGUAAAGCGCGCGUAGGCGGGUUGUUAAGUUAGAGGUGAAAUCCCAGGGCUCAACCCUGGAACUGCCUUUAAUACUGGCAACCUAGAGUUCGAGAGAGGUGAGUGGAAUUCCGAGUGUAGAGGUGAAAUUCGUAGAUAUUCGGAGGAACACCAGUGGCGAAGGCGGCUCACUGGCUCGAUACUGACGCUGAAGUGCGAAAGUGUGGGGAGCAAACAGGAUUAGAUACCCUGGUAGUCCACCCCGUAAACGAUGAAUGCCAGUCGCCGGGUAGCAUGCUAUUUCGUGACCCACCUAACGGAAUAAACAUUCCCCCC
Molecule: ribosomal RNA, 519 nt
Filed under: bacterium A3M_VP7_D11
Lineage: Bacteria
Description: bacterial SSU rRNA
Rfam family: Bacterial small subunit ribosomal RNA
Source: RNAcentral